Elaeis guineensis (African oil palm) is the source of this 542-nucleotide non-coding RNA. The record is from RefSeq and is a predicted model, not a curated record. Lineage: Eukaryota; Viridiplantae; Streptophyta; Magnoliopsida; Arecales; Arecaceae.
AGGUUGCAAGUGCAACAUCAACAUUUGCAAUGUAUAUUUUCAUCAUCAAUGUCCAUCAUAUAAUAUUAUCUUCUUGAUCGCUUCCCUAUCCCAUACGCUGUCUGCUUUGUUUUUCUGGCAACUGUGGCUGCCUUCACUGGUCAGCACAUUGUUAGAAGGUUGAUGGUACUCCUAGGCCGAGCAUCGCUGAUCAUCUUCAUGCUGGCUUUGACCAUCUUUGUGAGUGCAAUUAGUUUAGGUGGUGUUGGUAUUGCACACAUGGUAGAGAAGCUGGAAGGGAAGGAGCAUAUGAGUUUCGAGAACUUAUGCUACCUCUCCAAAUCACUUCAGCUCAAAGUCUUUCAAAGUUUUAAAGAUGUAAUAGUGAUAUUUAUGUCUUUCUUUUUCCUACAGCUAGGUAUUUGUCUACUUGAAUCUUGAGUCUGUUGGUAAGGUGGUGAAAUCUUUGUUCUUGUAACCAUGGUAGUUGAAACUUGGCAUCCUUUCUUCUAUAUACAAAAGUAGAUGCUUAAUCUGUGCAGAAAUUGUAGCAUAAUAUCUAA